GUGGGGAAUCUUCCACAAUGGACGAAAGUCUGAUGGAGCAACGCCGCGUGAGUGAAGAAGGGUUUCGGCUCGUAAAGCUCUGUUGUCGGGGACGAAUGUGCAGUAUUUGAAUAAAGUAGUGCAAUGACGGUACCUGACGAGGAAGCCACGGCUAACUACGUGCCAGCAGCCGCGGUAAUACGUAGGUGGCAAGCGUUGUCCGGAAUUAUUGGGCGUAAAGGGAGCGCAGGCGGGAAGGUAAGUCGGUCUUAAAAGUGCGGGGCUCAACCCCGUGAUGGGAUCGAAACUAUCUUUCUUGAGUGCAGGAGAGGAAAGUGGAAUUCCUAGUGUAGCGGUGAAAUGCGUAGAUAUUAGGAGGAACACCAGUGGCGAAGGCGACUUUCUGGACUGUAACUGACGCUGAGGCUCGAAAGCGUGGGGAGCAAACAGGAUUAGAUACCCUAGUAGUCC
RNAcentral lists this ribosomal RNA (450 nucleotides) under uncultured bacterium. RNAcentral's name for it is "partial 16S ribosomal RNA". It matches the Rfam family "Bacterial small subunit ribosomal RNA", at positions 354 to 796 of the family's 1533-position model. The record is from RNAcentral.